RNAcentral lists this signal recognition particle RNA (97 nucleotides) under Gammaproteobacteria bacterium. RNAcentral describes it as "signal recognition particle sRNA small type". It matches the Rfam family "Bacterial small signal recognition particle RNA". Rfam says of the family: The signal recognition particle (SRP) is a universally conserved ribonucleoprotein involved in the co-translational targeting of proteins to membranes. Lineage: Bacteria; Pseudomonadati; Pseudomonadota; Gammaproteobacteria. The record is from RNAcentral.
CCCGGGUCCCCCCGCAACGAUAGGCUGUGAACCCCGUCAGGCCCGGAAGGGAGCAGCGGCAGCAGCGGAUGCGUGUGCCGGGGUGUGGCCGGGGUGA